Molecule: long non-coding RNA, 3212 nt
Filed under: Mus musculus (house mouse)
Lineage: Eukaryota; Metazoa; Chordata; Mammalia; Rodentia; Muridae
Description: RIKEN cDNA 4930428N03 gene
Source: RNAcentral
UGUGGGUGAGAUCUCCAGCCACGUGGUGCUCUGAGAGGUGGGGAAUAGGAUGUCAGUGUGAGAUGGAAGGCUUCUUGGAGGAGAUGUCUGGGUCUUGAGUGGGCCAGAAUCUGUGAAGAGGAGAGAACCUCCAUAACAGCCAUAGACAACUGUCUCUGCGAUCGGUAGACAUGGAACUUGACACCCAAGGAAGUUUGUCUACUCACCAUGGCUUACAGACAAUUUGAAGGUGCUAAAACUACACUGAAUGCAGACCUCUCCCAGCCUGCUUUCUCUGCUUAGGCUGUGGGCAAAUGGCGUAGAUCCUUGAGUCGUGAGCAGGAACCUGCAGUGUCUAUACAUCUUUGGCCUUUGCUCGGAGGACAGUCCUGACCGAAGUUAUCUGAGGAUCUCAACUCAAGCUGCUGCUUUUCUCUGCUCCAUCCAAAGGCCUCACAGAUGCUCCAUCAGUCUGAAACGCUGUGCUCUCUCUUGUCAUCACACUGCUCCUGACUCAAGCAGCUAUAAAUUGUUAGGGCUCUCCCUGCUAGUUUCUCUCCACCACCAGCUUGUUUCCCUCUCAUUGAUCCAACCUGCAUCUGUAUCUUCGAUGGAUAAGCAGUUCUUCAGACUGUUUAUACCUCUGGCUCUAAACUGAAACUACCAACAGCAACAGUAGCAUCAGCUUCAGCAUCAACCUUAGCAUCAGUAUCGGCUUCAGCAGCAGCAGCAACAACAACAGCAGCAGCAUCUGUGUCAAAGCCAGGACCAUCAAGGACCUUGUUAGAAGUAGAAAUCAUGUGGCUCCAUUCCAGAUCUACUGAAGCAGAGACUGCAGUGAGGCCCACCAAUGGGAAAGCCCUCCAGAUGGCCUUCAUACCUUGUAGAAUCAACAAAUAGUUGUUUGAGCUGUAGGCCAGUGUGCCUAGCCAACUAGGAGACUGAGGCAGGAGGGUUACAAGUUCAAGGCAUUUAUGGGUUAAAGAGUGAAACCCUGUCUUCAAAUAUAAAGUCAAAAGCAAGGCUGGGAGUGUGGCUUAGAUAGAACACUUGCCUCACAUGUGCAAAGCUCUAGGCUUCUUUCCCAUCAUUGCACAAGCGUUCUAUCUUGUUGUUCCCAGCCCCGCUGCCCCACUCACCAUGGUGUGAUGGCUCACCUAAGAUCACAGCAGGUGGAUCCUGAGCUGGGAAGCAAGGCAGGAAUGAGCUUCAAGAGAACAGACUCCCAGAGACAGGAUACAGUAAGAUGGCUCAUUUUAAUGGGGGUGGGGGAACAAAGGCUAUUUAAACCUUUGAGGGGUGAGUAUACAUCAUUGGGUAGGUCCAUUGUGUUGGGGGUGCCUCAUUUGCAUAAGGAGGAAUUCCAGGUGCUGCUGGACAUAACCUUAUAAGGAGAGAGAAAAAUUAACCUGGCUACAGGGCUAUGUGACCUCCUCUAGUGGGGCAAAGGUAGGGGCACAGUGCCAUGUAUUCAGGGACAUGAAAGCCUGCGGCAGGGGUAGGGGAGGAGAGGGAGCAAUCCUACUCUUGUCAUCUCAGGAUGAGAUUUCUGGGGUUUGGACAUGCCUUGACCCUACUUUUGCUCUAGCCUACCCCCCCCCCCCCAUGGCUCUAAGGUUCCCCUGGCCCCACACUACCUGAGAGCAUAAUUUGUGUCUUUUGUCUCUUGGGCUUGUGGAUGCCAAAGAGAAGCUUUCUGGAGUACAGUCACACCCCAUUGCUAUCUGCUCCACAGGGAGCCACACGGAGAGAAUGAGUUGAGGGGAGGUGUGAAUAAGGAACAGAUGUGAGUUAAGGUGAGAGACCCUGGGAAGUACACGGUCAGGAUCCAUCCCAGAGAACUCACUAUGGAAUGCCAGUGGAGACUGCAAGAUUGCAAAUGUGGGGGUAUGCAGAACAGAGGGAUGCGCCAAAGCCCCAGAGCUGACCUCAACCCAUGCAUCUCUAAGAUGGUGAGAGUGGUGCUGCAGAGCCCCUCUGGACCAUGUGGGUUAGUGAUUGAUCAGUAGGAUCACGGACUUCCCAUAGGGUCGUUGUUGCGCAUGCACUCUGUGCCAGGCCUGGCCGGGAGGGUGCUAUGCUCCAAGUGAUUCCAUCUUCAUGGCAGCCCUUUGAAAUAGAAACUAGACUAUACCUGACAGAUGAGAAAGCUGGCACGGGCCUCUUUAGCCAUACUUACACAGCGACCUCAAAGCAGUGGGUAAUUGGGCACAUGGAUGGUCUUGCUCUGCCAGACACUGGGCAGUUUCUUAUUCUGGCAGAGUCUUCCCUCCCAUCACCCAUCAGCACAGUCAGUCAAGAAGAUCUAGCUCAUGGGCUUCGGUUGUACAUACUCUUUGACUUGACAGGCCAUGUAGGGUGUGGGUUGCCAGUGAGAUAGGGCCACAGCUGUCUGUUGAAUGGAAAGAUCCAGCCUGGUUCCCCUGGCUAACUGCAUUAGCAUAUUGCUGACCGUAGACCACCUGGCUCUGGUAUAUGUAUACUUGCUUUAGUGGAGUUGCUUAGCUUAUGCUCUGUUGCUAUAACUAAAUAUACAUAUGGGAUACUUUCUAAAGAGAAGAUGUUUAUUCACUGUUGCUCUGGAGGCCAGGCAGGCCAAGGUAGAGAGUUGUGUUUGAUGAUUGCCUUCUUGCUAGUGGGAGCUCUGCAGAAUUCCAAGAUGUCUCCAUAAGCCACACGUGACAAGACAAAAUAAGCUUGGUAACGUGGGUGUCUUUCCAUAUCAAAGUACAAUACCCUCAUAAACUCAUCCAACCCCAACACCAGCACAUUUCCAACACAUGAACCUUCAGGAGACACACCCAGAUCUUAACAGCAAUGUAGAAAGGCAGGUAAGACUCUUGCAUUCACAUGGAAUUCAUUAAUUCAUUAAUUCAUUCAUUGUUCAUUCAUUCAUUUAUUCAUUCAUUCUUGUAAUCCUCAAUGGGCUUACUGACCUGUAGAAAGAAAUGUCUGUGUGUUAUCAUCUUUGUCUCUGUGUCACAUUGAUAUGCAUACACAUCUAUGUGACUCUGGCAGGUAGCACAGGGUAGGGUAUGCCCCUACCUAAAUGGGAAGUGGGGCUACAAGGAAGCUUCCAGGGCAGGUAGGCAUGGCUCAGUAUGUUAGACUCUUCUCUACUCUCAUGUACUCUUAUACUUACUGUACUGGCUAGUUUUGUGUCAACUUGACACAGCUGCAGUUAUCACAGAGAAAGGAGCUUCAGUUGAGGAAAGGCCUCCAUGAGAUCCAAC